Molecule: ribosomal RNA, 690 nt
Filed under: uncultured Acidobacteriota bacterium
Lineage: Bacteria; Pseudomonadati; Acidobacteriota
Description: bacterial SSU rRNA
Rfam family: Bacterial small subunit ribosomal RNA
Source: RNAcentral
GAUCCUGGCUCAGAAUCAACGCUGGCGGCGUGCCUAACACAUGCAAGUCGCACGAGAAAGGGUAGCAAUACCUGAGUAAAGUGGCGCACGGGUGAGUAACACGUGAAUUAUCUACCUCCGAGUGGGGAAUAACUGAGAGAAAUCUUAGCUAAUACCGCAUAACACUUACGAGUCAAAGCAGUAAUGCGCUUGGAGAGGAGUUCGCGGCAGAUUAGUUAGUUGGCGGGGUAAUGGCCCACCAAGACGAUGAUCUGUAUCCGGCCUGAGAGGGCGCACGGACACACUGGAACUGAAACACGGUCCAGACUCCUACGGGAGGCAGCAGUGGGGAAUUUUGCGCAAUGGGGGAAACCUUGACGCAGCAACGCCGCGUGGAGGAUGAAAUCCCUUGGGAUGUAAACUCCUUUCGAUAGGGAAGAUUAUGACGGUACCUAUAGAAGAAGCCCCGGCUAACUUCGUGCCAGCAGCCGCGGUAAUACGAGGGGGGCAAGCGUUGUUCGGAUUUAUUGGGCGUAAAGGGUGCGUAGGCGGUUUGGCAAGUCUUGUGUGAAAUCUUUGGGCUCAACCCAAAGCCUGCACAAGAAACUGCCGGGCUUGAGUAUGGGAGAGGUGAGUGGAAUUUCCGGUGUAGCGGUGAAAUGCGUAGAUAUCGGAAGGAACACCUGUGGCGAAAGCGGCUCACUGGACCAU